This 792-nucleotide ribosomal RNA is filed under the name Escherichia coli. RNAcentral's name for it is "partial 23S ribosomal RNA". It matches the Rfam family "Bacterial large subunit ribosomal RNA", at positions 397 to 1191 of the family's 2925-position model. The record is from RNAcentral. Lineage: Bacteria; Pseudomonadati; Pseudomonadota; Gammaproteobacteria; Enterobacterales; Enterobacteriaceae.
CUGUGAGCUCGAUGAGUAGGGCGGGACACGUGGUAUCCUGUCUGAAUAUGGGGGGACCAUCCUCCAAGGCUAAAUACUCCUGACUGACCGAUAGUGAACCAGUACCGUGAGGGAAAGGCGAAAAGAACCCCGGCGAGGGGAGUGAAAAAGAACCUGAAACCGUGUACGUACAAGCAGUGGGAGCCUCUUUAUGGGGUGACUGCGUACCUUUUGUAUAAUGGGUCAGCGACUUAUAUUCUGUAGCAAGGUUAACCGAAUAGGGGAGCCGAAGGGAAACCGAGUCUUAACUGGGCGUUAAGUUGCAGGGUAUAGACCCGAAACCCGGUGAUCUAGCCAUGGGCAGGUUGAAGGUUGGGUAACACUAACUGGAGGACCGAACCGACUAAUGUUGAAAAAUUAGCGGAUGACUUGUGGCUGGGGGUGAAAGGCCAAUCAAACCGGGAGAUAGCUGGUUCUCCCCGAAAGCUAUUUAGGUAGCGCCUCGUGAAUUCAUCUCCGGGGGUAGAGCACUGUUUCGGCAAGGGGGUCAUCCCGACUUACCAACCCGAUGCAAACUGCGAAUACCGGAGAAUGUUAUCACGGGAGACACACGGCGGGUGCUAACGUCCGUCGUGAAGAGGGAAACAACCCAGACCGCCAGCUAAGGUCCCAAAGUCAUGGUUAAGUGGGAAACGAUGUGGGAAGGCCCAGACAGCCAGGAUGUUGGCUUAGAAGCAGCCAUCAUUUAAAGAAAGCGUAAUAGCUCACUGGUCGAGUCGGCCUGCGCGGAAGAUGUAACGGGGCUAAACCAUG